GGGUAGGUAGCCGAGCGGUCAGGCAUUCGCCUUUUAAGCGAAGAGACGAUGGGUUCAAAUCCCUCCCUUCCCACCA
This 76-nucleotide transfer RNA is filed under the name Klebsiella phage vB_KpnM_Seu621. RNAcentral describes it as "tRNA-Lys". It matches the Rfam family "tRNA". From Rfam's summary of the family: Transfer RNA (tRNA) molecules are approximately 80 nucleotides in length. Their secondary structure includes four short double-helical elements and three loops (D, anti-codon, and T loops). The record is from RNAcentral. RNAcentral also lists the same sequence under 5 other names. Lineage: Duplodnaviria; Heunggongvirae; Uroviricota; Caudoviricetes.